RNAcentral lists this ribosomal RNA (1993 nucleotides) under Parcubacteria group bacterium GW2011_GWA2_53_21. RNAcentral describes it as "bacterial SSU rRNA". The stretch from base 1 to 1123 matches the Rfam family "Bacterial small subunit ribosomal RNA", at positions 443 to 1533 of the family's 1533-position model. The record is from RNAcentral.
GGACGAAUUUGUGACGGUACCUGGUGAAUAAGAGGUUGCUAACUCUGUGCCAGCAGCAGCGGUAAUACAGAGACCUCAAGCGUUAUCCGGAUUUAUUGGGCGUAAAGCGUCCGCAGGUGGUUUGGCCAGUCAGAGGUUAAAACCUAACGCUUAACGUUAGGAUCGCCUUUGAUACUACCAGACUAGAGAACGGAAGAGGUGAGCGGAAUUCUCGGUGUAGUCGUAAUAAGCGUUGAUAUCGAGAAGAACACCAAAUGCGAAGGCAGCUCACUGGUACGUUUCUGACACUCAUGGACGAAAGCGUGGGGAGCAAACAGGAUUAGAUACCCUGGUAGUCCACGCCCUAAACUAUGCAUACUAGGUAUUGGCAGUAUCGACCCUGUCAGUGCCGUUUAAAAAAGCUAACGCGUUAAGUAUGCCGCCUGGGGAGUACGGCCGCAAGGCUAAAACUCAAAGAAAUAGACGGGGACCCGCACAAGCGGUGGUUCAUGUGGUUUAAUUCGAUGGUAAACGGGGAACCUUACCUGGGCUCAACUACUAGCUGCAAGCCUCCAGAAACGGAGGCCGCCUUUGAGGGUGCUAGAUAGGUGCUGCAUGGUUGCCGUCAGCUCGUGCCGUGAGGUGUACCAUUAAGUUGGGAAACGAGCGCAACCCACGUCGUGUGUUAAAUUUACACACGAGACCGCCCAGCCCUUUGAAAAUGAGUGAAGCAAAGUAAGCAAUUACUCGUCGUGCUUAAGCUGCCUACUCUGCUUAUAGCUCGUUGGCAAAGAGCUGGGAGGAAGGGGUGGACGACGUCAAAUCAGCAUGGCUCUUACGUCCAGGGCUACACACAUGAAACAAUGGGAAGUACAAUGGGUUGCUAAGUCGCGAGAUGGAGCUAAUCCCAUCAAAACUUCCCCCAGUUCAGAUUGCAGGCUGCAACUCGCCUGCAUGAAGUAGGAAUCGCUAGUAAACGCCUAUCAGCCACGGGGCGUUGAAUACGUUCUCGGGUCUUGUACUCACAAUAAAAGCGCUAGGCAGUAUAUUAUUCUAGAGAGUUAAAGUCUCUCCCUCUGCUUGUCGGCAGAGCGUAGCUAAAAGAUAGUCGUCUUUCGCAAGGAAGACGGCGAAGGAUCUCGAGGCAAAAGAUAGUCCAAUCAUAGAAAAGCCGUAUUGACCUUUGAAUCGGCGGUGAGCAAGGGGAAAAUACAUUGAACAGGCUUGAGUGGAAUGUCCGGAAAUGAAUAAUAUAUGACCCUAGGAGAUCUUACGUCGUCUUGAUUAUUAUGGUGUAAUCAAGUAAUGCAACUUACGCGGCGUAAGAAGUCAGCUGAAUCGUAGUACUUCGAUAUUGUGUCGAAGGAAGGAUUCACUCUAGUCGUAUGGAAGAAAUAUCUGCUAACUAUAUCGUUGGUCUCACGGACGGAGAAGGAAGUUUUACAGCUUAUGUAAAAAAUCCGGAUGCGUCCAAAGAAGUUAAGCGAAGAACAAAAGUUGAACCGAGGUUUUACCUCAAACUCAUUGAGAAAGACAAAAAGAUUCUCUAUGAUUUGAAAAAAUUCUUUGGUUGUGGCAAUGUUUAUUUUCAAAAAGAUAAACGCGCCAAUCAUCAAGACUGUUAUCGCUACGAAGUCGCCAAUAGAAAAGAUUUGCAGAAAAUAAUUAUUCCAUUUUUCAGAAGUAACUCUUUGCGAUUACGAUCAAAGAGCCGUGACUUUGAAAUUUUUUGUCAGAUUAUGGAAAUGGUUAUAAACAAUGAUCAUUUGAAGAAUUCCGGUCUUAGAAAGAUCUAUAAUCUUAAGCAGAAAAUGCAUUAGAGCUCGUCGUGUGCGGGAAAUCCGCAGGCACGAUGGGAACAUCAAUUCUAAGUUUCUAGAAGAUAAUCGCCCGUCACACCACGGGAGCUGGCAAUGCCCAAAGUCCCCCUUCGGGGGAUUAAGGCAGGGUCAGUGACUAGGGUGAAGUCGUAACAAGGCAUGGGUAGCGGAAGCUGCUCAUGGAUCACCUCCUU